AUCGCUUCUCGGCCUUUGGCUAAGAUCAAGUGUAGUAUCUGUUCUUAUCAGUUUAAUAUCUGAUACGUCCUCUAUCCGAGGACAAUAUAUUAAAUGGAUUUUUGGAGCAGGGAGAUGGAAUAGGAGCUUGCUCCGUCCACUCCACGCAUCGACCUGGUAUUGAACGGUGCACUCCGG
RNAcentral lists this small nuclear RNA (177 nucleotides) under Macaca fascicularis (crab-eating macaque). Its description in RNAcentral is "U2 spliceosomal RNA (ENSMFAG00000049349.1)". It matches the Rfam family "U2 spliceosomal RNA". Rfam says of the family: U2 is a small nuclear RNA (snRNA) component of the spliceosome (involved in pre-mRNA splicing). Lineage: Eukaryota; Metazoa; Chordata; Mammalia; Primates; Cercopithecidae. The record is from Rfam by way of RNAcentral.